RNAcentral lists this ribosomal RNA (253 nucleotides) under uncultured bacterium. RNAcentral's name for it is "partial 16S ribosomal RNA". It matches the Rfam family "Bacterial small subunit ribosomal RNA", at positions 524 to 776 of the family's 1533-position model. The record is from RNAcentral.
CACGUAGGGCGCGAGCGUUGUCCGGAAUUAUUGGGCGUAAAGAGCUCGUAGGCGGCCUGUUGCGUCCGCUGUGAAAGCCCGGGGCUUAACCCCGGGUCGGCAGUGGAUACGGGCAGGCUAGAGGUAGGUAGGGGAGAGUGGAAUUCCUGGUGUAGCGGUGGAAUGCGCAGAUAUCAGGAGGAACACCAAUGGCGAAGGCAGCUCUCUGGUACGUGACUGACGCUGAGACGCGAAAGCGUGGGUAGCAAACAGG